CCGGCGGCGGGCGGACAAAGCGGCGCAGCCUCCCGCUUCCGGUGCACGCGGCCUGCCCGGCCCGCUGUCCCCGCGCCCCGGACCCUCGCACCUCGCCCGGCGUCCGCGUGUGCGCAGCCGGCUCCCACCUGUAGCAGCAGCUUGACCCGCUCGAUCGGGGCCACGGCCGUCUUGGAGAUGGCGGCGGCGAUGCCUCCGGCCAGGAAGUCCUUGGCGAAUGAGAUGGCCUGUUCCGUCAUGGUGGCGUGGCGGGCAACGCAGCGGGAAGAGAGCGGAGGGGAGGCGCGGAGAGCCGGAGGGUGGGCACCGCUGGUCUGCGCUGCCGCCGCCGGGACCGAAAAGACGGCGCGGCCAGCGCGCAGCCGCUAAGGCGCCCACGCCCCGCCCCGCUCCCCCGCGCGCCGCGCCCAUUGGCUGCGCCGCGGCCCAAUCCCCGCCCCUUCCCUCUCGCCUCGCCCCCACGGGCUGCCGGGAGCAGCUCUGCGCCCCGCCCCUCGCCCUCGAGCGCCGCGCCCAUUGGCUGCGCCGCCGCCGACGUCCCUCCCCUUCCCGCGCUCCGCGCCCCGGAGCAUGUAGGGAGUCGGACCCCGCCCAUGCGCCUUGCGGACUGGGGGGCGCGGCGGCCGCCUUGACCUUAUGAAGGUCACGCCGGGCCAGGGGUAUGCGACCGACGGCGGUUGCGUAAGGGGAAGGCCGAGGGUCGCAGAGUCCCACGCCGGAUGUUCAUCCUGCCCCGGCCCCGGCAUCUGACGCUCGGACUCCUGGGCUCGUCCCGGUGAUUCCCGAGUCCCGUCCGCGACCCCCAGUCUAUCUCCGCUGACCAUUGAGGACCGGCUGCGACCCUGGACUCGCCUUAAUGACCCCUGUAGACCCCCGAGUCCCGGGCGCGACCCCAGGGAUCGCCCCGCGGGAGGAGCGACAGUUCGCGGGGUCAGGGCCGGAGUAGGAGGCCGCCCCGAGCCCCCCAGGCCCGGUUUCUCGAGGGCUUGCCUGUCCCCUGCCCGGUAGACCCCGGAUCCGCCCGUAGGAGCGCCCCCGGAGGACCCCACCCUGCCCUGGGGUCCCCCGACCCUGACCCCGAGACUUCGGGCGCACUGGGCGCGCCGGGCACUGGGGGGUCCCUGGGGUCCCUCUCCACCCACCCGGCUGCUUUCCCUGGGCCCUGCCCUCCCGGGGCCCAGUGGGCCUCAGACUCGGGUCCCCAUGCCGGGCCGCGCGCUGCGACGUGGCGGCUCCCAGAGCGACAGGGGUAUGUGUGCUGCCCGCACACGCUCCCUCACGCAUACACCCACGUGCCCAUGCCUAGACAUGUGUCCACACGUGCCCACGCACACCUGCACGCACACGCAGACAGGCACACAUGCUACCCGCAGGAGCACAUCUGCCCCCCUCCCCCCCCAGGAAGGCUUCUGAGACCUAGGUGUUUUGAAAUGCUGUGAACUUUUUAUUGAAUUAUAACUAAAUGGCACAAGUCGUAAGUGUAUCGUUCUGUGAAUUUUCACAAAGUGAGUGCAAUGGUGUCUCAGCACCCAGGUCAAGAAAGGAUCCGUUUCUUGGUGCAAGGAUGCGUCCUUUCAUUUCUUAUUUCCCUCCCGGCCUGUUUCUUCUCUCUCUCUCCCUCUUUCUUCUCUUUGCUCCACCCCCCAUAUUUUCAUGAGGGGUUUUCCUGCAUCCCCUCCAGCCGGUGACGCUGGGUGGAUGGAUGCCAGGGGCGGGCCCACCAGAGCCCAGGGCACCCGGAGCCUGCCAUUCGUUUUCCCGGUCCCCGAUGUCCUUGCAGGGCCUUGCUGUGCCCUCUGCUGACCUCCGUGGAGAAGCAGGAGCCACCUGACUGGGCGUGGAGGUACCCUGUGAUGGUUAUCACUGCCCGCUGGGCCGACAGGGGCCGACCGGGGCCAACCAGCCGAAGCUGGUCCUGCAGGCUCCGGCUCUGAGGCCCUGGAAGGAGGCGCUUCUGUUGGAGAGCCUCUCCAGCCCCGGGGGGAGCGGUUAACCUCUGAGCGAUCCGCUCCCCUCCCCCAGGCAAGGGACACCCCUUCCUGUGCCCCACCUGCAUUCCCAGCGCCCGCCCCCCGCGCAGCACAAGGAGAGUGAGCCGUACAAGGAAGCCAUGGGCCCUUCACUGCUUCCACAAACGUCAUCUGCCGGUUACUCUUGCGACUGGGCGUGUCCCUCGGGCGCGUCCUUGGUUUACGGGCACAGUCGUGGGUCAGAGCCCUGUCUGUAGCAGCCCCCCUGCCCGCAGCCCGCAGGGCUCCCAGUAGCCAGGACUAAGGGGGGGUCGGGUACCACCCCCUCCCCCCGGCCGAGGCAGGCGCUCUGACGCCUCUGGUUACAAGUGCAGUUUCUUCUAGCAAAACCCAGUGUCCAGACGGCUGGCGGCUCCCUGACGGGCCGGAGCGCGGGCGUCCCACGUGCCCUGUACCAGCCCUGCUGCAGCACGGCGCCCUUGGCUGAGGCAGGGUCACCUGCAGGGAUUCACCUCUCCUCCCGCGAUGGGAAGGGGACGGUGAACAGGGUGGGCGUCACCCCAGGUCCACCGCGCAGCGGAUGUGGCCCUGCCAGCAGCCGAGCACCGCCCUGCCCAGGUGAAGGGACGGGGCGGGCAGAGGGGACCCGGGUGGGCGGAGCGCGCUGCUCUGCGCUCCUGCGACCCUAGCUGCAGGUCCACACCGGGGCCCCUCUCCUCUGUCCCUGUCAGGAGAGCUGCCGGCACCCCAUCGCGAUGGCACAGCGCCCUUUACAACCAGUGUUUCAUUUCCUCCCUCCUCUGUCUUUGCCUCACAUGGAGACACAAUUUGUGAUUUUUUUAAAAUUGGAGUCCAUCCAAAAUUACAUACUCGUGUGUGUGUGUAUAUGUUAUAAAUAUAUACUUAUCCAUUUAUAUAUGACAUACAUAGUUUAUA
Mesoplodon densirostris (Blainville's beaked whale) is the source of this 2906-nucleotide long non-coding RNA. RefSeq lists it as uncharacterized. The record is from RefSeq and is a predicted model, not a curated record. NCBI's taxonomy places the organism in Eukaryota, Metazoa, Chordata, Mammalia, Artiodactyla, Ziphiidae. The transcript has 3 exons.